This is a long non-coding RNA of Scatophagus argus, 2203 nucleotides long. RefSeq lists it as uncharacterized. The record is from RefSeq and is a predicted model, not a curated record. The transcript has 3 exons. NCBI's taxonomy places the organism in Eukaryota, Metazoa, Chordata, Actinopteri, Scatophagidae.
CCGCAGCGGGACGUGGUUUUUUGGUCACGUCCCCACCAGCUCAUCUGCACAGCUGAAUCUCAUUACUUCAAUCAACGCCACCCCAAGACUGCAUUAGAUGAAGAGCAACUCAAUCAUCCACUCUCCGUCAGAUUGUUCAGUACCCCACCUAGUAUCUUGACUCAGGCCUCUUGUUGUUGUUUGUUCUGUGAUUUUGAAUCUCUUGCUAACUUCUCUGGUCUCUGUGUGCUGAGGAUCAGCGUCACCUUCUCUGCUCUCCCUGACCGCUCUGAGCUCCAGCCCUGCCAGGUCCCAGUCCUGACCCUGCCAUCUGCAAGCUCUGGGCCCAUGAAAGAUCUUCAGAUCACUUCCCUGAUGAGCUCCCAGCCUAUCUCCUCUGCUCUGGACGCAUCCAGAGCACGAGCUCUCUGGUUGCUGAGCUCCAGGGCCAGGGUCGUGCUCUCCAGCUGCUGCCUGAGUCUGGCCACCUCCCUCUCUCUCUGCCUAGCCUCCUUCCGCUGGCCAUCCAACUCCAACUGACACACUUCCUUCUCCUGCUCCAGCCUCGAGGCCUCCAGCAGCGCCUGGUCUCGCGCCCGGGCCACAGAGUCGACCUCCAAGCUGGCUUCGCGGAGUUCUGCCUCCAGCUCCUCCUCCCGACGACGAGAAGUCUCCAAACUCCGACCUUGGCGUUCAAGCUCCGUCCUGAGGGUCUGAAUGGUGAGCUCUAACUGGUCACCCUGUCAAAAGAGACAAGAUGGAUGAUUAAAGAACAGUUCACUGAACCCACACAACAACUAGGAAACAAAGGGGAGAAGAGGAUGUGGAUGUGUUGUAGUUUCCUAUUUGGGUUUUAUUCACCCCUACAGCUGAAUUAAGUGCACUUCAUGUUUCAUUAAACACACAAUGUUAUGAUUUCCAUUCAUUCUGAGCCUUUGCUUCUUGCUGUGGCGCUCAGAAUACAAAUUCUACCUCAGACGUAACUGGAAGCUAUUGUAUUUUAUGAAAUAAAUAGUGAAACAUUAAAAAAGUUAUCUUAUUCACAAAUGAAAAGACAGCACAGAACUACCUCUGCUGUGAUGUUUACAGAGUGGAUGGUUUCAUUGUUUUGACACUAAAGAAAUACAUCACUGUUUUUCAAAGAAGUCUAUGUCUAUAUAUUGAUUUAAGUGCCAUAAAGACCAGGUUUUGUUUCUCUUGCUCUGACAUACUACAUGUGUAUUAACACUCUAAAACAAGUUGAUGUACAGGACCCAAUAUCAUAUGUCUAGCUGGCAGAACAUAUGUACACAGCUGAAAAAAAAGUUGUUUUUUUUUCUCAGCCAGUCCUCAGUGUAUUUAAAAUACGCACAGUAUUGUUUGAAUAAAUGGAUGUUCAUGUACAACAUCCACAAUAUAAACAGGGUCUUCUCUUGGAGAGAAGCGGUGCAGGUAAUACAGUAGAGUAUUAUAACAUUAGAAGGAGGAUUAUGUAUGACUCUCUGAAUGGGAGGUAUUCAUGAAUCCCUUUUAUGGUAUUUCUUUAGUGCUGACUUUGCACUUCUCUUCUCCUUAUCUUGCAAUUUCUCUGAUGUCUUGCAACUUUACUGCAAAUAGCACAUUAAACACAGAAUUCUGCAUCAGAUUUUUUUUCCAGAAAAUCUCAGAGACAUCCACAUGUUGCAAUAAAGUGUUUGAAAAAAAAGGUGAUUUUCAUCUUGGUACAGGCCUGAAAUAUGUUGUGUUGAAUCUCAUGAUCCCUGCUGUCAGCGUAGAUGAGUUACUUGUCAACAUUUUGAAUAUCGCAGGUCAAAACAAACUCAACACUGAGUGUAUAAAAACAUGCUGUUUUGCUCUCAUACAGCAGCUUGAAUCAUCCGUUUGUUUCACUUCACGCUGUCUAAUCCACCUAAUGCUGAACAGUUUCUUCACACAAAGAUAGAGUUACAUUUCAGUUCUAAAUGCAAGACAAAAGAUAUUUAUUUGGCAAACGGAGUCCCUAUCUGAUGUAAAGUAUUAAAUGAUUAUUUACAGAGAUUACAGAAUAAUCAGAUCAGCUACUGAGGAAUUACGUUACAUCAUAAAGACUCUCUUUCAUUUAAUUUGUAGAUUUCUUUCUCUCUGCCCCUCGUCUGUCUUCCCUCAAAUAAAAUGACAUCUGCCGUGGUCAUGGACAUUUGGUAUCACAGCUGCAUUGUGCUUGUGGAUUGUGUGUGUGUGCAUGUGCAUGUGUACUCAUCAACCU